RNAcentral lists this long non-coding RNA (1106 nucleotides) under Toxoplasma gondii VEG. The record is from RNAcentral. Lineage: Eukaryota; Apicomplexa; Conoidasida; Eucoccidiorida; Sarcocystidae.
CAGGUCCAUGUUGGCACUCCGAAUCCCAACCGAGGUUGAAACCAUAUAAUGUUUCCCAUCGUCCACCGCAAGAUAAAUACACUGCAGACACACGCGAAAGUCCAAGAGGUCUCAAAAAUUGUUUUGUGCAAGUCGUCACUCUACCUCUAAGGCCUCCAGAGCCAUCCAGCGUGGUGGAGUUGCUGCCAAGGAUCCCUGGGGGGCGCGCCUGCCACACAUCUCUUCAUUCCUUGUGUGUAUUGUACAUUUUUGGCGAAAAAGAAUUUGCGACACACAAUCUGCCAUCUCACCUGUUGCCAAUAAAACUUCCUUCUGGAACUUAGACCAGAAUGUUUAACAGCUACAGGGAUGCCCGAGACGAGUCCACUGAAAAAACGACGAUCACGCGCACGACAAACUGAGACCCUCCCUACUGUGGCACAUCUCCAGUUUCGGUUUGAUGUGGGUACCUACAUUCAUGAAGAGUACCAAAUGAAGCUUUGCUUUUUUGCAUUCGUUUCGCCUCAGACCAGAAAGGCAGUGUGACUAAAAAAGGUCCAAACAUCGGAGUCUCUGGCACAGUGAAUGUUGUGGGUACCUACCAGAGGACACAGAAACGUCAAAAGAAAAAAGCCGAAGUGCCAGAUAUGUCGAACGGGAACUAUUCAUCCGAAAAAGCGGGUGAAUGUCAGCUAAAGUUUGCAGUAAGUGAAGUAUUUUCCGUCCAAGAUGAGUAGAGGGACAUAACACGGUAAGUCGUACUGAUUUUGGCUUUCUCUAGCACUUUAGCGACUCGUUGUUUCCGACAAACACGAGAAGGGAACUGUAUAAUGCGGUUGUUCUGGUCAGGUCGACAUUGGCUCUGUUUUGAAAAACCGCUUUAUGAGCAACAGUGUUUUGUAAGGUAUGCUGCAGUGCAAACCAAGGUGUGUGACGUCCGUUCUUUCUCAUUCAAUGGGCUGCUCCAACAAAAACCAAACUGAACUCCUCGUGAUUGAAGAAUUUAAACUUUACACUGGAUACAUUUUAAUGUUAACUUACUACAGACCAUGGGAGGGGCUUUUUUUAAAUGUUAAGCUGCAUUGUGUUUAAACUUUACACUGGAUACGUUUUAAUGUUAUCUUACU